This 863-nucleotide ribosomal RNA is filed under the name Pseudocyphellaria mallota. RNAcentral describes it as "LSU rRNA". It matches the Rfam family "Eukaryotic large subunit ribosomal RNA", at positions 69 to 947 of the family's 3401-position model. Lineage: Eukaryota; Fungi; Ascomycota; Lecanoromycetes; Peltigerales; Lobariaceae. The record is from RNAcentral.
CAGGGAUUGCCUCAGUAACGGCGAGUGAAGCGGCAGCAGCUCAAAUUUGAAAUCUGACCCCCCCGGGGCCCGAGUUGUAAUUUGCAGAGGGUGCUUCGGGCGCGGCGCCGGUCUAAGUUCCUUGGAACAGGACGUCGUAGAGGGUGAGAAUCCCGUAUGCGACCGGCGGCCAAGCCCAUGUGAAGUCCCUUCGACGAGUCGAGUUGUUUGGGAAUGCAGCUCAAAACGGGUGGUAAAUUUCAUCUAAAGCUAAAUACCGGCCAGAGACCGAUAGCGGACAAGUAGAGUGAUCGAAAGAUGAAAAGCACUUUGGAAAGAGAGUCAAACAGUACGUGAAAUUGUUGAAAGGGAAGCGCUUGCGAUCAGACCGGUCCGGGGGCGAUCAGCCGCGGCUCGCCCGCGGUGCACUCGCCCCCGAUCCGGCCAGCAUCGGUCUGGGCGGCGGGAGAAAAGUCCCGGGAACGUAGCUUCCCUCGGGGAGUCUUAUAGCCCGGGUCGCCAUGCCGCCCGCCCGGACCGAGGACCGCGCUUCGGCUAGGAUGCUGGCGUAAUGGUCGCAAGCGACCCGUCUUGAAACACGGACCAAGGAGUCUAACAUCUAUGCGAGUGUUUGGGUGUCAAACCCGGGCGCGGAAUGAAAGUGAACGGAGGUGGGAACCCGUCGCACGGCGCACCAUCGACCGAUCCAGAUGUCUUCGGAUGGAUUUGAGUACGAGCAUAGCUGUUGGGACCCGAAAGAUGGUGAACUAUGCCCGGAUAGGGUGAAGCCAGAGGAAACUCUGGUGGAGGCUCGCAGCGGUUCUGACGUGCAAAUCGAUCGUCAAAUCUAGGCAUAGGGGCGAAAGACCAAUCGAACCAUCUAG